UCCCCGAUAGCUCAGCUGGUAGAGCGACGGACUGUUAAUCCGCAGGUCCCAGGUUCGAGCCCUGGUCGGGGAG
Betaproteobacteria bacterium is the source of this 73-nucleotide non-coding RNA. Lineage: Bacteria; Pseudomonadati; Pseudomonadota; Betaproteobacteria. The record is from Rfam.